Long non-coding RNA from Medicago truncatula (barrel medic), 2204 nucleotides. RefSeq lists it as uncharacterized. The record is from RefSeq and is a predicted model, not a curated record. NCBI's taxonomy places the organism in Eukaryota, Viridiplantae, Streptophyta, Magnoliopsida, Fabales, Fabaceae. The transcript has 3 exons.
CUUUCAUUUAUUUCUUAAUUCUUUGUUGGUUCCUAUCUUUUUAUUUCUGCAGAAGUUCAAAUAUAUGAGGGUUUUGAAUUUUGAUCACCAUGGGCUUUUAACACAGAUACCUGACGUAUCUGGUCUCGUAAAUUUAGAAGAAUUUUCCUUUCAAGGUUGUGUGAAUUUAAUCACAGUCCAUGACUCCAUUGGGUUGCUAGGUAGACUUAAAACCUUAAGAGUUAUGUGUUGCAUCAAGCUCAGGAGUAUUCCACCUCUCAACUUGGCUUCUCUAGAAGAACUUGAUCUUUCAGAGUGUUCAUGUCUUGAGAGUUUUCCACCAGUGGUGGAUGGGUUGGCGGAUAAACUUAAAACAAUGAGUGUUAGAAGAUGCUUAAAUCUAAGGAGUAUUCCACCUCUUAAGUUGACUUCUUUAGAAAAAUUCGAUCUUUCGCAAUGUUUUAGUCUCGAGAAUUUUCCACUUGUGUUGGAUGGGUUUCUUGGAAAUCUCAAAACCCUGCUUGUUGAAAGUUGUCACAAACUCACAAUCUCAUAAGUAUUCCACCUCUCAAGUUGGAUUCGCUAGAAGAACUUGACCUUUCAUAUUGUUAUAAUCUUGAUGGCUUUCCAGAUGUUGUGGAUGGGUUGUUGGAUAAACUUGAAUUCUUGAGUAUUAAACAUUGUGUCAUGAUUAGGAGUAUUCCACCGCUCAGCUGGUUGACUUCGUUGAAAUUGUUUGAUCUUUCAUAUUGUCUAAGUCUGGAGAGUUUUCCAGAAAUAUUGGGAGAGAUGAGAAAUGUAACAAACCUUAACUUGGAAUAUACUCCCAUAAAAGAAUUGCCGUUUCCAUUUCAAAAUCUUACUCUGCCUAAAAUAUAUCCAUGUAACUGUGGAUUUGUUUCCUUACCAACUAGUAAUUAUGCGAUGUCAAAACUGGUGGAAUGUACCAUCCAGGCUGAACAAAAAGUGAUCCCGAUCCAAUCUUUACACGUAGAAUAUAUUUGUCUUAGAAAUUGAAAAGUUCCAGAUGAGUACUUGUCAAUAGGUCUCAUGUUGUUUGCUAAUGUGAAAGAAUUACACCUAAAUGAAAGUCAAUUCACGUUUCUUCCUAAAUCUUUCGAAAAAUGUCAUUUUUUAUGGAGGCCUGUCUUGGAUAAUUGUAAGGAACUUCAGGAAAUUAAAGGGAUUCCACCAUGCUUAAAAUCAUUAUCUGCUUUUAACUGCAAAUCGCUGUCUUCGUCAUGCAAAAGCAAAUUACUAAGUCAGGAAUUGCAUGAGGCAGGAAACACUCGGUUCCGUUUGCCAUGAGCAAAGAUUCCAGAGUGAUUCGACCACCAAGGCUUGGCAGGAUUGUCAAUUUCAUUCUGGUUCCGUAACAAGUUUCCUGCCAUAGUUCUUUGUGUUGUUUCUCCAUAGUCAUGGCUAGAUGAUAAUCAUCAACCUACAAGAGUGGUCAUCAAUGGAUAUACAUUUGUCUAUAAAUGUGGUGAGAUUCUACCUAUGUCACUGCGGGAAACGUAUCAUUUACAUCUUUUUCAUAUGCAAACUGAAAAAUUCAAUGAUGAUAUGGACAAAGCACUUUUAGAAAAUAAGUGGAACCAUGCAGAGGUUGACUUUGGAUUCCCAUUCCAGAAUGUGGAAUCCAUGUAUUGAAAGAGAAAAGUAACAUGAAUGAUAUUCGAUUCACCAACCCAGAGAAUGAUGCUAAUAUUGAGUUCACUCUUUAAAAACACAACUCUGAGUUAUUGGUCUCAGGAAUUGAUUCUUUUGUGGAAAAUCGGGGAUGUAAUGAACUCUACCAAUCAUGAGACUUCACCAUAUAAUUGUAGUAUUCCUGCAUACAAUGAUAACACAUUUACAUCGUGUUCACUUGGGAUGUUGAAGAAGGAGGAGCCUGAAGAAUAGAUUUAUUUUUUUUCAGAGAUAUCUUGAAGGAUUUAGACCUCACUUGUCUGCAUACACAGAGGUUGUCAAUUCUUGAUGGAACUUAUUCAGGUUCAGUGGCAUAAGUAUCGGUUAUUGAUUUCACAAAUCUCUUGUUCUUCUCAAGAAUGAUGUUGUUGUGCUUUAAUCACGAAAACACUGACUGGCACAAUGUGAUUUCACUGACUGAAAAAAGGAUAUAGUAUACCAAGCUUUGUAGAGUAUGAGAUGAGAUACUUGUAUUGUAUAUAUACAUCCUUACUUUUUGUUUCUGGUACAAUAUUCCGAGUUAUUUUUAACCA